UUCCGGUUGAUCCUGCCGGAGGCUACUGCUAUCGGAGUCCGAUUUAGCCAUGCUAGUCCAUCGAGCCUAGCUCGAGGCAGAUAGCUGAGUAACACGUGGCCAACCUGCCCUGUGGAUGAGGAUAACCUCGCUAACGUGAGGCUAAUACUCAAUAGCAGACGGAAGUGGAAUACUUCCAUCUGUGAAAUGUUCCGACGCCACAGGAUGGGGCCGCGGCUGAUUAGGUCGUUGGUGAGGUAACGGCUCACCAAGCCAAUAAUCAGUAGCAGCCGUGAGAGCGGGAGCUGUCAGUCGUGUUCUGAGACAAGAACACGGACCCUACGGGGUGCAGCAGGCACGAAACCUUUACAAUGCACGCAAGUGCGAUAAGGGGACUCCGAGUGCGGUCUUCCUACACGGAAGGCCGCUUUUCUGCACUGUAAGAAGGUGCCGGAACAAGGGGUGGGCAACACUGCUGCCAGCCGCCGCGGU
RNAcentral lists this ribosomal RNA (471 nucleotides) under uncultured archaeon. Its description in RNAcentral is "bacterial SSU rRNA". It matches the Rfam family "Archaeal small subunit ribosomal RNA", at positions 1 to 471 of the family's 1478-position model. The record is from RNAcentral.